Molecule: ribosomal RNA, 1343 nt
Filed under: uncultured bacterium
Lineage: Bacteria
Description: 16S ribosomal RNA
Rfam family: Bacterial small subunit ribosomal RNA
Source: RNAcentral
GACGAACGCUGGCGGCGUGCUUAACACAUGCAAGUCGAACGGAAAGGCCCUGCUUUUGUGGGGUGCUCGAGUGGCGAACGGGUGAGUAACACGUGAGUAACCUGCCCUUGACUUUGGGAUAACUUCAGGAAACUGGGGCUAAUACCGGAUAGGAGCUCCUGCUGCAUGGUGGGGGUUGGAAAGUUUCGGCGGUUGGGGAUGGACUCGCGGCUUAUCAGCUUGUUGGUGGGGUAGUGGCUUACCAAGGCUUUGACGGGUAGCCGGCCUGAGAGGGUGACCGGCCACAUUGGGACUGAGAUACGGCCCAGACUCCUACGGGAGGCAGCAGUGGGGAAUAUUGCACAAUGGGCGGAAGCCUGAUGCAGCAACGCCGCGUGCGGGAUGACGGCCUUCGGGUUGUAAACCGCUUUCGCCUGUGACGAAGCGUGAGUGACGGUAAUGGGUAAAGAAGCACCGGCUAACUACGUGCCAGCAGCCGCGGUGAUACGUAGGGUGCGAGCGUUGUCCGGAUUUAUUGGGCGUAAAGGGCUCGUAGGUGGUUGAUCGCGUCGGAAGUGUAAUCUUGGGGCUUAACCCUGAGCGUGCUUUCGAUACGGGUUGACUUGAGGAAGGUAGGGGAGAAUGGAAUUCCUGGUGGAGCGGUGGAAUGCGCAGAUAUCAGGAGGAACACCAGUGGCGAAGGCGGUUCUCUGGGCCUUUCCUGACGCUGAGGAGCGAACGCGUGGGGAGCGAACAGGCUUAGAUACCCUGGUAGUCCACGCUGUAAACGGUGGGUACUAGGUGUGGGGUCCAUUCCACGGGUUCCGUGCCGUAGCUAACGCUUUAAGUACCCCGCCUGGGGAGUACGGCCGCAAGGCUAAAACUCAAAGGAAUUGACGGGGCCCCGCACAAGCGGCGGAGCAUGCGGAUUAAUUCGAUGCAACGCGUAGAACCUUACCUGGGUUUGACAUGGAUCGGGAGUGCUCAGAGAUGGGUGUGCCUCUUUUGGGGUCGGUUCACAGGUGGUGCAUGGCUGUCGUCAGCUCGUGUCGUGAGAUGUUGGGUUAAGUCCCGCAACGAGCGCAACCCUUGUUCACUGUUGCCAGCACGUUAUGGUGGGGACUCAGUGGAGACCGCCGGGGUCAACUCGGAGGAAGGUGGGGAUGACGUCAAGUCAUCAUGCCCCUUAUGUCCAGGGCUUCACGCAUGCUACAAUGGCUGGUACAGAGAGUGGCGAGCCUGUGAGGGUGAGCGAAUCUCGGAAAGCCGGUCUCAGUUCGGAUUGGGGUCUGCAACUCGACCUCAUGAAGUCGGAGUCGCUAGUAAUCGCAGAUCAGCAACGCUGCGGUGAAUACGUUCCCGGG